AAUAAUUAAUUAAACUCCGCCCACCCCCCGCCCGUCUUUCUCUCCCUCACCACCGCCGUUAUCUGGUCACGGCACCAUCGUCACUGCUAUCCGAACGGGCGCUGCCACUUCUUUGAGUCAGAUCGCGUCGUCGUCUGUCUCAAACCCACGAGAUCCAACGCUCAACCGUCGUUCAUCACCAUCCGCUGCUAACAGUCGCGCCGCUGCUGUUCACUCACCGUCGGGGCGUCGCCGUCACAAUCGUUGGUCACCGCUAAGUGUUCGAAUCCAGCCGCGUCAUUCAUUUAGGUUGUUUAUGUCCUUCCGUGUGUUCAGAUCUAGUCACAUUGCCUGUUUCAGACCAUUCAACCGCCGAUCGUCGACGAUCUCUUCACCUCUCGUUGCUCCGUGAGCCAUGUAUCAUUGAAUUUUGCCACGUCUCGCUGUGAACUAGAGUUUUUGGAGUUUUGGAGUGUCAAGAAUUACUUUCAAGCAGCUUAAGGACCCGAUUGACAACGUUUGGUGAGUCUUGAUUGUUGUUCUUCAAAGAUUUGAAUGGAUAGUUGGCCUAAUUAAUGACUAAAUUUUAAUUGUGGAAGAUUAAUUUGAGAUUUCAAGGAGGGGUGGAGCAGUCAUUCAACAAUAUCAAAAGAGUUUUGACAUGUUUGAUUGGGAAUUUGUUUGUAAAGCUUGAAAGGAUUUUGGGAUCAAGUUAUAUUUAGGGGUUAAUUCAAGGCCUUUAUUUCAAGAUAGAAAGGAUUUUGUUCAGUUAUCAAGACUUCAUGGAGGCAACUAUCUUUUUAUUGGUUCGCCUUCGAUCUAGUCCCCUUGCAUGAUAAUGAUUGGACUGGAUUGAUUGGACUGUCUAAUUUAGACCGAUUGGACUAUCUAAUCUAAUUAGACUGAAUGGAUUGUUUUGACCA
This is a long non-coding RNA of Benincasa hispida (wax gourd), 902 nucleotides long. RefSeq lists it as uncharacterized. The record is from RefSeq and is a predicted model, not a curated record. NCBI's taxonomy places the organism in Eukaryota, Viridiplantae, Streptophyta, Magnoliopsida, Cucurbitales, Cucurbitaceae.